RNAcentral lists this ribosomal RNA (439 nucleotides) under uncultured bacterium. Its description in RNAcentral is "partial 16S ribosomal RNA". It matches the Rfam family "Bacterial small subunit ribosomal RNA", at positions 339 to 795 of the family's 1533-position model. The record is from RNAcentral.
CUACGGGGCGCUCCAGUGAGGAAUAUUGCACAAUGGGGGAAACCCUGAUGCAGCAACGCCGCGUGGAGGAUGACGCAUUUCGGUGUGUAAACUCCUUUUAUGAGUCAAGAAAAUGACGGUAGCUCAUGAAUAAGCACCGGCUAACUCCGUGCCAGCAGCCGCGGUAAUACGGAGGGUGCAAGCGUUACUCGGAAUCACUGGGCGUAAAGGACGCGUAGGCGGGAUGUCAAGUCAGGUGUGAAAUCCUAUGGCUCAACCAUAGAACUGCACUUGAAACUGGCAACCUAGAGUAUGGGAGGGGGAGAUGGAAUUAGUGGUGUAGGGGUAAAAUCCGUAGAUAUCACUAGGAAUACCGAAAGCGAAGGCGAUCUCCUGGAACAUUACUGACGCUAAGGCGUGAAAGCGUGGGGAGCAAACAGGAUUAGAUACCCCUGUAGUC